This 2401-nucleotide long non-coding RNA is filed under the name Helianthus annuus (common sunflower). RNAcentral describes it as "hypothetical non coding rna". The record is from RNAcentral. Lineage: Eukaryota; Viridiplantae; Streptophyta; Magnoliopsida; Asterales; Asteraceae.
ACAAAAAUGUUGCGUUUUCCGGCCAAAAAGUUGAGUUUUCCGAAAAAGGUUCCCAAAGGUCCAUAAUAAGGUUACAAAGAGGUUCGGGACAAAAUUGUUGAGUUUUUCGGCCAAAAAAACGUUUUUCCGGCGACCGAAGACUAACAACGUUAGGGUUCUAUUAGUCAGAGUCCAUUGGAGGCAAAUAUGUUAAAAGUUAGGUCUGUCAGUGGUUAUUUUUAGAAUUGGGACUGUUGGUGGCCAACGACGAAUAGUUAAGAUUAUUAAAAUCCAAUAUUCCUACCAAAAACGAAUGUAAUGACUUCAAAGACCCUAAGAAAAUUUAGUUUAUGGCAAUGAGAAUGAAAGAAUAAUAAGAACACACUAUACUCCAUACGCAGGAUAACGUUUAUAAGUAAUUGGUUGUGUCAUAUUUUCUUUUUACUAGUGGGAAACCCGCGCGUUGCUGCAGAGUCGAUAAUACGGGACGAGAAUAUAAUUCAAACCUUAAAACAAUAAAAAAUUAUAAUAUAUUAGGGUGGUUCUCAUUAUCUGCCUAUGCAAACAAUCAAACUAAACAAACGGUAAAGUUAUUAUCGAGGUUUCAUUCUUUAUACGAACUUUAAAAAAAAAAAAUUGGGAUACCCUGAAUCUUUCUUCUAGACCCGCCACCGGAUAUAAUACAACCUUAAUAACAAGAUAUUUAAAUACAAGAAGCACUCCUUAGCUUUUCGAGCAGCUCUUCUGCUUUGUCAACAGUGGCCAUCUUUGUAGCCAUGCUUAACUAAUGAUUAAAGCUUCAUAAUAAGUAACAAUAUAAAUAAACAAAACUGAAGUUUAUUUAGAUAGCAACUAAAUUGUUAAAAACAAAUAUUUAAAGUUUAAACCUCUGCGUAGUUAUUAUGUCCAAGAAGCUUAGCCUUUGCUAGCUUCAAAAUUUGUUCAAUAACAGGAGUAUUAUCUAAAUCUCCACUUAAAGCACCCUCUAACUUGCGCCUUCUGCUUUGUUGCAAGAAACACUCUCUAACUUGUUCAAUCCAUCUUCCAAUAUCUAUUAUUUAAAACUGAAAAAAAAAAAAACCAAAAUUAAAUUUGUUAUAGUGGCUAUAUCAUUAUACUCAAGGAUGAGAUUAUUUUCUCAUAUACCGGCACCUUAGCGAUAUGGCAUCCAUAUAGCCUAAUUGGUAUUGGUAUUAGGAUUUCUCAAAUGCGGAUAUUCGGUAAAAUACAAUACGGUAUCUGUACCAGCUUUUUUUUUGGUAUUUUGGCAUUCGGUACUGAAUUAUUACUCUCACCGCUGCAAAAAAAAACAUAAAAAUGGAACAUUACCAUAAAACUGACUUAUAUUUUGCUUAUAUAAAUCAACUUUAUAGAGCAAAAUCCAUUAUUUAAGAAGCGUAGUACCUGAACCCCCCACAUGUAGGGAGGAGGUUGAGGGCUUGAUGCUAAGUAACCAGGUGGAGGCAUAGGCGAAUAAGCCUGUUCAAGAAGUAAUUACAUAAACACCACCUAAAUUUAGUCAAACAACUCACACCACACAUGCUCCAAUUUGACUAUAAGCUUAAAAGUGUUAUAGAUACAAAACCUGAAAUCCGGUCCAAUCAGGUGGGACCGCUCCCAUGGCAUUGCCUGAGGGCUGCUCUUGAGCAAACAAAAACCAAUAAACAAUAUAGAUAAGGAAUGUAAGUAAAACAGAUUAACAGCAUCUAUAUACAUCCCAUGACGCACAAGAGUCAAAAGAGAAUCAAUUCACCUGGGAUGUUGGAGGAGUUUCAUUUGCGGAAUCGUUUGCCUCCUUAACAGGUUAUCCAUCGUUCUCCUGACUUCCCGUUAUUCAGAUUUCAAACCACAACCACUGUAAUACAUGCAUUUUUACUUAAAAUAUUAGAAAAAUCAAAAAUAAAAUAAUAAAUAAUAAAGGCACAUUGAGCAUGAAAUUUGUGGACUUGAAGCCCUAACAGUUAAAAUCAAAUAAGGAAAUAAAUAAGGAAUAAUUAAAGAAAAUGAUACCUAUGGUUCGAAAGCCGAUAGACUCGGCUACCGAGCGUUGUUCUGAAGUAGGCACAUAAAUUGCUUCUUCAAACUUGAGCUUCAUAACAGCCGUUUCACAUUCUUUUAGUUUCUUUGAAGCAUCUGGAUCAUUAGGAGAUAUUCUCUUUUACCUAGUGUCAUAUAUAGGCGUACAACAAGAGCAAUGUACAUUAGCUGUCAACUAAGGAUAAUUUAAGCACAUAUUAUAUGAGUACAUAAAACUUGCAUACAAUUGUAACACAGAAGCACCAUCAAGAUUCAACGGAAAAAAAGUAACGGGGAUCUAAAUCGGCCCCAACCCACUAUUUUAUAGUGGGCCAGAAUGUGAUCAAAGCGCCCGCUAUAUAGUAAUAACAAACUGACAUUAAUAAACACAAACACACACCACUGC